UACGGAGGAUCCAAGCGUUAUCCGGAAUCAUUGGGUUUAAAGGGUCCGUAGGCGGUCUUAUAAGUCAGUGGUGAAAUCUCCCCGCUCAACGGGGAAACGGCCAUUGAUACUGUAGGACUUGAAUUAUUAGGAAGUAACUAGAAUAUGUAGUGUAGCGGUGAAAUGCUUAGAUAUUACAUGGAAUACCAAUUGCGAAGGCAGGUGGCUACGCUUCGUCUGACACUGAGGCACGAAAGCGUGGGGAGCGAACAGG
This 253-nucleotide ribosomal RNA is filed under the name uncultured bacterium. Its description in RNAcentral is "partial 16S ribosomal RNA". It matches the Rfam family "Bacterial small subunit ribosomal RNA", at positions 524 to 776 of the family's 1533-position model. The record is from RNAcentral.